CCAAUAGAUGGCGCUGUUGCACUGUUGUAGCAGGAGAAACAUUAAGUUCUGGUCAAGUGCUCACCAUCUGCAGAAUAAGGACCAGAACUUUACAGAGGUAAACUGUGUCAGUUCUUUUACUAUUACAGCAGUUCAUCGUGGCCCUGUAGUUCGCCUCCUUCACCAAAGCUCUGUCAGGGACCUACAUGAAGAGUGCCAUCACUCAGAGAGACACUUUGACCUGUCCUGCUCUCUCAUCGGACUCAUAGACGGCAGCUUUGAGAUGGGUUUCAACAAUAACAUUGAGUUGCUUGAGAAUUCAUGUAGUAAAAACCAGAUACAGACUACAGUAUGAUCCAUUUUUUUGUGGUUCAAUCAGAGUCUGCUCUCAAUACUGUCCAGUUUUAUAGUUGUUCCUAUUAAUUGAUUGACUGGCGUUUGUCCAUGACUCUACUGUCAAACCCCUAACAUUGUUGUAUUUGAUGCUAUGUUGUUGCAGCCUAGUAUCCAAACUGAUAUGUCAUUUUUAGUUAAAAAAAUAACAGUGUUUAUAAUUUGCUAUUCCUGACUACUGUAGUGUUGUGGUUUCUUGCAGGUAACCUGCUGUUUCUGGCUGUGGUCAGCCAUUUUGGGGCGAAGCUGCACCGGCCCAGGUUCAUUGCUAAGGGCUGUUUCCUCAUGGCUGUAGGAUCCUCCCUCACAGGCCUGCCACACUUCUUCAUGGGACGGGCUAUCAGGAGAGCUACCCAAUCGCAGAGGGCCAUCGUGGCUUCAUCAGUGAUGCCAGACUCUGCAGAUGCAGAG
This is a long non-coding RNA of Oncorhynchus kisutch (coho salmon), 783 nucleotides long. RefSeq lists it as uncharacterized. Lineage: Eukaryota; Metazoa; Chordata; Actinopteri; Salmoniformes; Salmonidae. The record is from RefSeq and is a predicted model, not a curated record. The transcript is spliced from 3 exons.